RNAcentral lists this ribosomal RNA (559 nucleotides) under uncultured bacterium. RNAcentral's name for it is "bacterial SSU rRNA". It matches the Rfam family "Bacterial small subunit ribosomal RNA", at positions 777 to 1327 of the family's 1533-position model. The record is from RNAcentral.
AAUAGAUACCCAGGUAGUCCUGGCCGUAAACGAUGCACAUUAGGGAGAGGGUGUUCCUAGACAUUCUCUCCCCAAGGGAAACCGUUAAAUGUGCCGCCUGGGGAGUAUGCUCGCAAGGGUAAAACUCAAAGGAAUUGACGGGGGCUCACACAAGCGGUGGAGCAUGUGGUUCAAUUCGAAGCAACGCGAAGAACCUUACCAGGCCUAGACAUCAGGAUGUAACCCGGUGAAAGCCGGGCCAACUCGCAAGAGAAAUCCUGUGCAGGUGUUGCAUGGCUGUCGUCAGCUCGUGUCGUGAGAUGUCGGGUUAAGUCCCAUAACGAGCGAAACCCUUACUGCCAGUUGCCAGCGGAUAAUGCCGGGGUACUCUGGCGGGACUGCCUCGUAAGACGGAGGAAGGUGGGGACGACGUCAAGUCAUCAUGGCCCUUAUGGCCUGGGCUACACACGUGCUACAAUGGGGGCUACAAAGGGGAACCGAGGCCGCGAGGCGGAGGAAACCCUCAAAAAACGCGCCCCCCAGUUCGGAUUGGAGUCUGCAAACCCGGCUCCAUGGAACG